UACGUAGGGAGCAAGCGUUGUCCGGAAUUACUGGGCGUAAAGGGCGCGUAGGCGGGGAUUUAAGUUAGAUGUGAAAACUCCGGGCUUAACCUGGAGACUGCAUUUAAAACUGGAUUUCUUGAGGGCAGGAGAGGAAAGUGGAAUUCCUAGUGUAGCGGUGAAAUGCGUAGAUAUUAGGAGGAACACCAGUGGCGAAGGCGACUUUCUGGACUGUACCUGACGCUGAGGCGCGAAAGCGUGGGGAGCGAACAGG
This 253-nucleotide ribosomal RNA is filed under the name uncultured bacterium. Its description in RNAcentral is "partial 16S ribosomal RNA". It matches the Rfam family "Bacterial small subunit ribosomal RNA", at positions 524 to 776 of the family's 1533-position model. The record is from RNAcentral.